RNAcentral lists this ribosomal RNA (27 nucleotides) under Ficus tsiangii. RNAcentral describes it as "partial 18S ribosomal RNA". The record is from RNAcentral. Lineage: Eukaryota; Viridiplantae; Streptophyta; Magnoliopsida; Rosales; Moraceae.
CUGCCCAAGCAGGAGAGACCAGCGAAC